RNAcentral lists this ribosomal RNA (494 nucleotides) under uncultured bacterium. RNAcentral's name for it is "partial 16S ribosomal RNA". It matches the Rfam family "Bacterial small subunit ribosomal RNA", at positions 28 to 507 of the family's 1533-position model. The record is from RNAcentral.
GACGAACGCUGGCGGCGUGCUUAACACAUGCAAGUCGAACGGUGAAGCGCCUUCCUUUUUGGUGGGUGUGGAUGAGUGGCGAACGGGUGAGUAACACGUGAGUAACCUGCCCCCUUCUUCUGUAUAACCGCAUGAAAGUGUGGCUAAUACGGGAUAUUCUGGGUCUGUCGCAUGAUGGGUCUGGGAAAGAUAUUGUUUCGGUGGGGGAUGGGCUCGCGGCCUAUCAGCUUGUUGGUGGGGUGAUGGCCUACCAAGGCGGUGACGGGUAGCCGGCCUGAGAGGGUGGACGGUCACACUGGGACUGAGACACGGCCCAGACUACUACGGGAGGCAGCAGUGGGGAAUAUUGCACAAUGGGCGCAAGCCUGAUGCAGCGACGCCGCGUGAGGGAUGGAGGCCUUCGGGUUGUGAACCUCUUUCGCCAGUGAAGCAGGCCUGCCUCGUUUGUGGGUGGGUUGACGGUAGCUGGAUAAGAAGCGCCGGCUAACUACGUG